UGAGUACGAGAUGCUACGGCAUCGAAGCAGUCUAUGUCAUACUUCCAAAAAAAGCUUGCACUGUCAUAAACAAAUAAUGCCUGUACCAUAACCGACACAGGUGGGUAGGUAGAGUAUACUAAGGGGCGCGAGAUAACUCUCUCUAAGGAACUCGGCAAAAUGACCCCGUAACUUCGGGAGAAGGAGUGCCUUAUUUAUAAGGUUGCAAUAACAAGAUCCAAGCAACUGUUUAUCAAAAACACAGGUCUCCGCUAAGUCGUAAGACGAUGUAUGGGGGCUGACGCCUGCCCAGUGCCAGAAGGUUAAAGAAGUUGGUUAGCAUUAGCGAAGCUGAUAACUGAAGCCCUGGUGAACGGCGGCCGCAACAAUAACGGUCCUAAGGUAGCGAAAUUCCUUGUCGGGUAAGUUCCGACCCGCACGAAAGGCGUAAUGAUUUGGAUACUGUCUCGGAGAGGGGCUCGGUGAAAUAGACUUGUCUGUGAAGAUGCGGACUACCUGCACCAGGACAGAAAGACCCUAUGAAGCUUUACUGUAACUUGAAAUUGAAAUUGGACUUUAUUUGCGCAGUAUAGGUGGGAGGCGUUGAAAAUAUUCUUGCGGGAAUAUGGGAGCCAUCAGUGAGAUACCACUCUUGUAAUGUUAGAUUUCUAACUUUGUAUCAUUAUCUGGUCAAAGAACAGUUUCAGGCGGGCAGUUUGACUGGGGCGGUCGCCUCCCAAAUGGUAACGGAGGCGCACAAAGGUUUCCUCUGAACGGGUAGAAAUCGUAUCUAGAGUGUAAAGGCAUAAGGAAGCUUGACUGUGAGACCUACAAGUCGAGCAGGGACGAAAGUCGGUCUUAGUGAUCUGACGGUGCUGAGUGGAAAGGCCGUCACUCAACGGAUAAAAGUUACUCUAGGAUAACAGGCUGAUCUCCCCCAAGAGUUCACAUCGACGGGGAGGUUUGGCACCUCGAUGUCGGCUCAUCGCAUCCUGGGGCGGUAGUACGUCCCAAGGGUUGGGCUGUUCGCCCAUGAAAGCGGUACGCGAGCUGGGUUCAGAACGUCGUGAGACAGUUCGGUCCAUAUCCGGUGUAGGCGUUAGAAUAUUGAGAGGAGCCUUCUUUAGUACGAGAGGACCGAGAAGGACAUACCUCUGGUGUACCAGUUAUCGUGCCAACGGUAAACGCUGGGUAGCCAUGUGUGGAGAGGAUAACCGCUGAAAGCAUCUAAGUGGGAAGCCCACCUCAAGAUAAGUAUUCUCGU
Molecule: ribosomal RNA, 1243 nt
Filed under: metagenome
Description: bacterial LSU rRNA
Rfam family: Bacterial large subunit ribosomal RNA
Source: RNAcentral